This 1638-nucleotide ribosomal RNA is filed under the name Micrococcus luteus. RNAcentral's name for it is "partial 23S ribosomal RNA". It matches the Rfam family "Bacterial large subunit ribosomal RNA", at positions 1 to 1612 of the family's 2925-position model. Lineage: Bacteria; Bacillati; Actinomycetota; Actinomycetes; Micrococcales; Micrococcaceae. The record is from RNAcentral.
GUGAAAGUUUCCAAGGGCGCAUGGUGGAUGCCUUGGCAACAGGAGCCGAAGAAGGACGUGGGAAUCUGCGAUAAGCCUGGUGGAGUCGAUAACCGGACGUUGAGACCAGGAUUUCCGAAUGGGGAAACCCCGCACGACGUGUCGUGUGACCCCCGGUUGAACACAUAGACCGGGUGGAGGGAACGUGGGGAAGUGAAACAUCUCAGUACCCACAGGAAGAGAAAACAAAAGUGAUUCCGUUAGUAGUGGCGAGCGAACGCGGAUGGGGCUAAACCGUAUGUGUGUGAUACCCGGCAGGGGUUGCAUGUGCGGUGUUGUGGGCCCCUCCUUGUCAUGUCUGCCGGCAUGGCGCAGUGAGGUGCGGGCAUAUAGACGAACCAGUGUGGAUGCUGGACCGUAGAGGGUGAGAGUCCCGUAGUCGAAAUGUGUUCCGCCGCUGUUGGGGGGUUGCCCGAGUAGCACGGGGCCCGAGGAAUCCCGUGUGAAUCUGCCAGGACCACCUGGUAAGCCUGAAUACUACCUGUUGACCGAUAGCGGAUCAGUACCGUGAGGGAAUGGUGAAAAGUACCCCGGGAGGGGAGUGAAAUAGUACCUGAAACCAUGUGCCUACAAACCGUUGGAGCCUCCUUGUGGGGUGACAGCGUGCCUUUUGAAGAAUGAGCCUGCGAGUUAGUGAUACGUGGCGAGGUUAACCCGUGUGGGGAAGCCGUAGCGAAAGCGAGUCUGAAUAGGGCGAUUGAGUCGCGUGUCCUAGACCCGAAGCGGAGUGAUCUACCCAUGGCCAGGUUGAAGCGCGUGUAAGAGCGCGUGGAGGACCGAACCCACUUCAGUUGAAAAUGGAGGGGAUGAGCUGUGGGUAGGGGUGAAAGGCCAAUCAAACUCCGUGAUAGCUGGUUCUCCCCGAAAUGCAUUUAGGUGCAGCGUCACGUGUUUCUUCCCGGAGGUAGAGCUACUGGAUGGACGAUGGGCCCUACAAGGUUACUGACUUCAGCCAAACUCCGAAUGCCGGGAAGUGAGAGCGUGGCAGUGAGACUGUGGGGGAUAAGCUUCAUAGUCGAGAGGGAAACAGCCCAGACCACCGGUUAAGGCCCCUAAGCGUGUGCUAAGUGGGAAAGGAUGUGGAGUUGCUGAGACAACCAGGAGGUUGGCUUAGAAGCAGCCACCCUUGAAAGAGUGCGUAAUAGCUCACUGGUCAAGUGAUUCCGCGCCGACAAUGUAGCGGGGCUCAAGUACACCGCCGAAACCGUGGCAUUCAGUUUUGCUGGAUGGGUAGGGGAGCGUCGUUCACGAGGUGAAGCCAGCGGGUAACUUCUGGUGGAUUGUGGACGAGUGAGAAUGCAGGCAUGAGUAGCGAAAGACGGGUGAGAAACCCGUCCGCCGGAUGACUAAGGGUUCCAGGGUCAAGCUAAUCUGCCCUGGGUAAGUCGGGACCUAAGGCGAGGCCGACAGGCGUAGUCGAUGGACAACGGGUUGAUAUUCCCGUACCAGUGAAGAACCGUCCAUGUUGAGCCGGUGAUACUAACCGCCCGAACCAUCCCGAACCCCGUCUUUGACGGGGUCGGUGAUGGGGAGCGCGGGACCUGAACCGGGGAGGCAAGCGCAUUAACAGGUGUGACGCAGGAAGGUAGCCGGGCCGGG